Molecule: ribosomal RNA, 253 nt
Filed under: uncultured bacterium
Lineage: Bacteria
Description: partial 16S ribosomal RNA
Rfam family: Bacterial small subunit ribosomal RNA
Source: RNAcentral
CACGGGGGGAGCAAGCGUUGUUCGGAAUCACUGGGCGUAAAGGGCGUGCAGGCGGUCAGGUAAGUGGGAUGUGAAAUGCCCCGGCUCACCCGGGGACCGGCAUCUCAUACUGCUUGGCUUGAGUACGGGAGAGGAUGUGGGAAUUCCUGGUGUAGCGGUGAAAUGCGUAGAUAUCAGGAGGAACACCGGUGGCGAAGGCGAACAUCUGGCCCGAUACUGACGCUGAGGCGCGAAAGCUAGGGGAGCAAACGGG